RNAcentral lists this ribosomal RNA (418 nucleotides) under Gammarus duebeni. Its description in RNAcentral is "partial large subunit ribosomal RNA". It matches the Rfam family "Eukaryotic large subunit ribosomal RNA", at positions 23 to 390 of the family's 3401-position model. The record is from RNAcentral. Lineage: Eukaryota; Metazoa; Arthropoda; Malacostraca; Amphipoda; Gammaridae.
ACCCGCCGAAUUUAAGCAUAUCAGUAAGCGGAGGAAAAGAAACCAAUACGGGAUUCCCUUAGUAGGGGCGACCGAACAGGGAUGAGCCCAGAGCAGAACCUCCCGGGCCACCCGGCCUGCGGCGGAAUGUUGCGUAAAGGGAAAGGUGUACUCAAACCCCACAGCCACGCGAACUCUAAGUCAACCACGAAUAGGCUAUCCCAACUAACGGCGGGAAAGACUCCACGGAGGGUGUAAGACCCGUGUGGGCGCGUGUCAAAGCUGUGCGGGCUCGGCCUCUUUUCCCUGAGAGUCGCGUUGCUUGAGCAUGCAGCGCUAAGCAGGUCGUAAACUCGAUCUAAGGCUAAAUAUCUCCACAGAACCGAUAGCGAACAAGUACCGUGAUGGAAAGUUGAAAAGAACUUUGAAGAGAGAGUUC